Aethalodelphis obliquidens (Pacific white-sided dolphin) is the source of this 3243-nucleotide long non-coding RNA. RefSeq lists it as uncharacterized. Lineage: Eukaryota; Metazoa; Chordata; Mammalia; Artiodactyla; Delphinidae. The transcript is spliced from 8 exons. The record is from RefSeq and is a predicted model, not a curated record.
CUAGUGUAGGCUCCCAGGGCUACAUGUAGGGCAGUGGCCGGGUCUGCUCGCCGGGGUCAGGAAGGCUGUUCUUCCAGGAAGGGCUGCAAAGACCCUGGGAACGGGACCAGCCCAGCUCACAAGUAUGAAGAGAAUGUCGGGAGAGGAAGUGGUGGCUGUGAGUCAGCAUGAGUCAUCUCGUUCCAAUGAGAAUGAAGAUUGAGGUGUGCGCCUUUUUUUUUGAGUCUCAAUCGUGUGGACAUCAUUGGGAAUGGAGGGAAAUAACUGACUGUAUGGUCGUUGCUUUUUAAGUUUCAAACUGACAUUCCAGGCGGGCUGUGCCCGAGCCAGCAUCUGUUUUCACAUCUUCACAGCCUGGUCCUGGGAAGGUGGAGCCCACGGCUUCUCCCUGGUGAGAGCGAUUCUCCUAAAGCAGCAACCUGAGAGGGCGGAUGCUUAAAGGAGAGCACACAUCUGGAGCAGUAUCUAGCGGACGGGAUGAGUUCAACACACGAUAGCCAAGAGGACCCGGCGGCCAAGAGGACCCGGCUGUGUUCGGGGCAGCCCUGGGGAAGGCUCGCACUCUGCUGAUGGAUUAGUUAAAGACUGAAACUUUCUGAACCACGGGACUCCCAUGGACCAGAAACAAAAUCAAAACUCGAAUCCCCAACUCGGGCUUUUACUUGAAGGGAAAUCAGAGUCCCCCAUUGGAGGCAGUGGUCAUGAAGCCACGGAGACUUUUGUCAAAGUUUUAUUGCUUCAAAAGGACUUAGGUCAACCUCUAAUUGCCUCUACCCAGAGAUACGAGCUGGGACCUGGUGGUGGUAUGUCCUGGGCCCUGAGAGCAGCACGAGGCUUGGAGGCCCUGGCAGAGAGAUCUUCAGCAAGACAGGCAUCUCUGCUACCUGACAGGAGGAGACCCCCAGCAGGGCUUGGACUCAUCUGAAUAGAAAGAUGAGCAGCUGGCUUGGGAGAUGGGCAAAGUGACGAACUGGAGGGGCUAGGACACGGCUGAAGGCUGAGGCGUGCAGCCUCCAGCAUCUCUCUUCUUUACGAACUGGAGCCCUACAAGGAGAUUCUCAAGCUGGCAACAUGAUUGUCCACAUAGAAGAAUAAGCUGUCCUCCUUUCACUGACUGCAUUGAUCAAGCACGUGCUUCCACUUGUUCUGAGGGUGUUGCUGCAGCAGACAGAAGCACAGGGGCUGAGAGCACAGCUUGGGCGUGGUAGACCAGGUGGACACCCCAACUCCACCAUUCCCAGCUGUGUACCCCUGGGCACCUUCCUUGACCUCUCUGAACUUUGGUCCCCUCAUCUGAAAUGGAGGUUAUGGCAGAAACAAGAGCCUAUAGUCGUUGUGAGUAUUAAGUGAGAGCAAUGUACAGACAACUGAGCAGUGUACUUGCUGCAGGUAUUACUACUACUUGCUGCUGUUGUAGGUGAUCCUGCACUGUCUGCUGUGCUGCCCCCAGGACUGUCACUGGAGCCAAGAAAACUCAAUUCUCCUGCUCAGUGGCCCUGUGACUUGUCAACUCACACAUCCAUUCUGAGCUUCACUGCAGAAUGGUUAUAAAUGGUUUAUUUAUAACAUGGUGACAAUAACCCCUCUCUCAUAAGAUUCUUGUUAAGACAGGACGAAACAACAAAUAAAAGUGCUUUGAGCACUUUAAUAAUAAUAAUGAUAAUGAUAAUAACAGCAGCUAAAAAUUUUUGAGCACUCCCUAGCACCAGCACCAUGGAUUGCUUUUUGCUUACAACAUUUCACUUAAUCCUUAUAACCAUGAGUUAUUCGUCUAAUUUAUGUAGAUUGGGAAACUAGUCCCCAAGAAGUAAUCUGCCCAAAGACACAGCUUGUGAGCCGUAGAAUCCAGAUUUGGACCCCCAGGAUCUGGCUGUGUUCUCAUGCUUCCCAGAGAAAGUAAGCCAGUGAGGGAAAGAACAGCUUGGCCUGGGGCUCACUUCCACUGGAAAGCUCUGUACGAUGGAUCCAUGAAGUUUUCCUUGAAUAUCUCUGCCCAGAGUGCAACAAAGAGGCCACUAGUUGAAUAAUUCCCACAAUCCCAUGGUAUGGUGGAGGUCCAUAUGUGAGGGGUGGGCGCUCUAUGGAAAGGUCUCCUUUGUGAAGGACGGUAGGCUACAGCCUAAGAGCCUACCAAUUCUAAGAGUCUGGGAUUUGUUUCCUUUUUAUAGCCUGGCUAUAUUUAGGUCAAUGAAUUGUAUUCAAGAUGGACUCAUCAGUGCUUCAGUCAAUGCAUUCUUUCAUUGAAAAGUUAUUGAAAGGACUUGUGCUCCAGACAGGGUAGCAUAAAGUCAUUCCUCUCUUCUCUCCUCUCAGCUAGGGACAAUGAUAAACUCUGGAAACACUGCAAGAAGCAGCCAUUAAGAGAGUGAAAAGGCAAGCCACAGAGUGGGAGAAGAUAUUUGCAGAUCAUAAAACUGAUAAGAGACUUGUAUCCAGAAUACAUUAAAAAUUUCCAUAAAUCAUUAAUAACCCAAUAGAAAAAAAUGAGCCAAAGACUUGGAUAGGCACUUCACAAAGAAGGGAUAUAGUUUACCAGUAAACAUGAGAAGCAGAGUGCACAGUGAAAUCCCAAGGAGACACAUCUACACGCCUGCCAGAGUGGCUGAAAAUGAACAGACUAAUAACCUAAGUGCUGGCGAGGAUAUGGGGCAAAUACACCUGCCAUCCACUGGCUAGUGGGGGCGUGAAGUGGAACCAUCACUCUGGAAAACUGUUUGGCAGUAUUGAGUGCUGAGUGUUGUAAUACCCCCAUGGCUCAGCAUUUCUACCCCUCUGUAUACACCCAACUGAAACACGUACUUAUUAACACUGAAGGCAUGUACAGAGCUGCUCGUAACCAUCCAGUUAUAGUAGCCAAAGACUGGAAACAACAGUGGAAUGGAUUAAUAUACUGUGGCGUCCUUAACAGUGAAACUGAACAAUGGAAUGCAGCACACGGUAACACAGAACUGAGAUCUCCACGCCCAGUGAGAGAACCAAGACAACCAAGAGGGUUGAAUGGUUCUACGUACACCAGGUUCAAGAACAGACAAAGCUGAUGACGAUUGAAGUCCAGACGGUAGUUAUGUGGGGAUGUAACUGGAAAGAGGCACAAGGGGUGCUGAGGUGCAGCUAAUGUCCCGUUUCUUGAACUGGGCAGUGAUUUCAUAGGUUUGGACACUGUGAACAUCUGUCGAGCUCUUAUGCUUAUCAUUCGUGCACUUUUCUCUCUGCGUGUUUCGCUUCAAUAGAGUUUACUUAAAA